GGAGAGGUGGCAGAGCGGUUGAAUGCGCCGGUCUCGAAAACCGGUUCGGGUCUUUCGGUCCGACGAGGGUUCGAAUCCCUCCCUCUCCG
RNAcentral lists this transfer RNA (89 nucleotides) under Solirubrobacterales bacterium. RNAcentral describes it as "tRNA-Ser". It matches the Rfam family "tRNA". Rfam says of the family: Transfer RNA (tRNA) molecules are approximately 80 nucleotides in length. Their secondary structure includes four short double-helical elements and three loops (D, anti-codon, and T loops). Lineage: Bacteria; Bacillati; Actinomycetota; Thermoleophilia; Solirubrobacterales. The record is from RNAcentral. RNAcentral also lists the same sequence under 2 other names.